This is a small nucleolar RNA of Tachyglossus aculeatus (Australian echidna), 138 nucleotides long. The record is from RefSeq and is a predicted model, not a curated record. Lineage: Eukaryota; Metazoa; Chordata; Mammalia; Monotremata; Tachyglossidae.
ACCCUCUCAGGAUUGCACCUGGAGAGUUUCUAGUACUCUACCAGUAUCAACUACGGUCGGGAGAGUCACGCUGAGGCAUACCCAUUCCAUUCCUAGCUUGGCCAGUGGCUAGUGAGUGGAAGGCAAUCUGCUACAAGU